GAGUUUGAUCGUGGCUCAGAACGAACGCUGGCGGCGUGCCUCUCACAUGCAAGUCGAACGGACAUACAGUUCUCUGGCAACUGGAAACUGUAUGUUCUUGGCGAACGGGUCUGUCUCACGUCUAUCUCCUACCCUUCUGUGUGGGACAACUCUGGGAAACUUCAGCUCUUACCACAUCUGACCACAUGCUCUCUUGCAUGUGGUCUCUGGAGAGAUCCGCCUCUGGAUGGGUCUGCGGCCUAUCAGGUCUUUGGUCUGGUCUUGGCUUACCAAGCCUAUCUCGGGUCUCCGGUCUCUCUGGAUGGACGGCCACACUGGAACUCUCUCACGGUCCAGACUCCUACGGGAGGCAGCAGUGGGGAAUAUUGCACAAUGGGCGAAAGCCUCUUGCAGCGACGCCGCGUGGAGGACGAAGGCCUUCGGGUUGUCUACUCCUUUUGUCUGGGACAAUCUUCUUGGUACCCUACGAAUCUGCCACGGCUCUCUCUGUGCCAGCAGCCGCGGUCUGACAGAGGUGGCAAGCGUUGUUCGGAAUUACUGGGCUUCUCUGGCGCGUCUGCGGCAGUGUCUGUCCGAGGUGGAAUCCUAUGGCUCAACCAGAGGACUGCCUUGGAAACUGCACUGCUUCUGUCAGAUCUGGGAAGGCGGAAUUCCUGGUGUCUCAGUCUCUUGCGUCUAUAUCAGGAGGAAGGCCUGUGGUCUCUACGGCCUUCUGGGUCUUCUCUCUCGCUCUGGCGCGAAAGCGUGGGGAGCAAACAGGAUUCUAUACCCUGGUCUUCCACGCCCUCUACGGUGGGCACUCGGUGUGGGAUCCGCAAGGGUUCUGUGCCUUCUGGAAACCGUUCUGUGCCCCGCCUGGGAAGUACGGCCGCAAGGUUCUCUCUCAAAGGAAUUCUCGGGGGCCCGCACAAGCGGUGGAGCAUGUGGUUUCUUUCGACGCAACGCGAAGAACCUUACCUGGGCUUCUCAUGCUGGUGGUCUGAACCUCUCUGGGGGAUCUCCUCGGGGUCUCUCGAGGAGCCAGCACAGGUGCUGCAUGGCUGUCGUCAGCUCGUGCCGUCUGGUGUUGGGUUCUGUCCCGCAACGAGCGCAACCCUUAUCCUCUGUUGCCGAUCUGGCUCUCUCUGGAAACUGCCAGCGAUCUGCUGGAGGAAGGUGGGGAUCUCGUCAAGUCAUCAUGGCCCUUAUGUCCAGGGCUACACACGUGCUACAAUGGCUGCUACAGAGGGUUGCAAGACCGCGAGGUGGAGCCAAUCCCUCUCUGCAGUCUCAGUUGGGAUCGGAGUCUGCAACUCGACUCCGUCUACGUGGAAUCGCUCUUCUUCGCGGAUCAGCUACGCCGCGGUCUAUACGUUCCCGGGCCUUGUACACACCGCCCGUCACACCACGAAAGCCUGUUGUACCCGAAGCUGGUCUGCUCUCCCGCAAGGGAGGCAGCC
This 1439-nucleotide ribosomal RNA is filed under the name uncultured bacterium. RNAcentral's name for it is "bacterial SSU rRNA". It matches the Rfam family "Bacterial small subunit ribosomal RNA". The record is from RNAcentral.